RNAcentral lists this transfer RNA (72 nucleotides) under Simkaniaceae bacterium. Its description in RNAcentral is "tRNA-Ala". It matches the Rfam family "tRNA". From Rfam's summary of the family: Transfer RNA (tRNA) molecules are approximately 80 nucleotides in length. Their secondary structure includes four short double-helical elements and three loops (D, anti-codon, and T loops). Lineage: Bacteria; Pseudomonadati; Chlamydiota; Chlamydiia; Parachlamydiales; Simkaniaceae. The record is from RNAcentral.
GGGGAUUUAGCUCAGUGGUAGAGCACCUGAUUUGCAUUCAGGGGGUCAGGAGUUCGACUCUCCUAAUCUCCA